This 856-nucleotide ribosomal RNA is filed under the name Amanita sp. 5 ZLY-2014. Its description in RNAcentral is "eukaryotic LSU rRNA". It matches the Rfam family "Eukaryotic large subunit ribosomal RNA", at positions 82 to 918 of the family's 3401-position model. Lineage: Eukaryota; Fungi; Basidiomycota; Agaricomycetes; Agaricales; Amanitaceae. The record is from RNAcentral.
AGUAACUGCGAGUGAAGCGGGACAAGCUCAAAUUUAAAAUCUGGCAGAUGUUUGUCUGUCCGAGUUGUAACCUAGAGAAGUGUAACCUGUGCUGGACCGUGUACAAGUCUCCUGGAAUGGAGCAUCAUAGAGGGUGAGAAUCCCGUCUUUGACAUGGACUACCAGUGCACUGUGGUUGCACACUCAACGAGUCGAGUUGUUUGGGAAUGCAGCUCUAAAUGGGUGGUAAAUUCCAUCUAAAGCUAAAUAUUGGCGAGAGACCGAUAGCGAACAAGUACCGUGAGGGAAAGAUGAAAAGAACUUUGGAAAGAGAGUUAAACAGUAUGUGAAAUUGUUGAAAGGGAAACGCUUGAAGUCAGCUGCAUUAGCUGGGGAUCAAGCCAGCUUUUUUGCUGGGUGUACUUCCUGGUUGAUGGGCCAACAUCAGUUUUGACCAUCAGAGAAAGGCUAAGGGAAUGUGGCACCUUUAUAGGUGUGUUAUAGCCCUUGGUUGUAUGUGAUGGUUGGGACUGAGGACAGCAGUGUGCCGCAAGGCCGGGUUUCGACCACGUUCAUGCUUUGGAUGUUGGCAUAAUGGCUUUAAGCGACCCGUCUUGAAACACGGACCAAGGAGUCUAACAUGCAUGCGAGUGUUUGGGUGGAAAACUCGAGCGCGUAAUGAAAGUGAAAGUUGAGAUCCCUCUCACAGGGGAGCAUCGACGCCCGGACCAGAACUUUUGGGACGGAUCUGCGGUAGAGCAAGCAUGUUGGGACCCGAAAGAUGGUGAACUAUGCCUGAAUAGGGUGAAGCCAGAGGAAACUCUGGUGGAGGCUCGUAGCGAUUCUGACGUGCAAAUCGAUCGUCGAAUUUGGGUAU